RNAcentral lists this ribosomal RNA (497 nucleotides) under uncultured bacterium. Its description in RNAcentral is "partial 16S ribosomal RNA". It matches the Rfam family "Bacterial small subunit ribosomal RNA", at positions 28 to 507 of the family's 1533-position model. The record is from RNAcentral.
GAUGAACGCUGGCGGCGUGCCUAAUACAUGCAAGUCGAGCGAACGGACGAGAAGCUUGCUUUUCUGAUGUUAGCGGCGGACGGGUGAGUAACACGUGGAUAACCUACCUAUAAGACUGGGAUAACUUCGGGAAACCGGAGCUAAUACCGGAUAAUAUUUUGAACCGCAUGGUUCAAAAGUGAAAGACGGUCUUGCUGUCACUUAUAGAUGGAUCCGCGCUGCAUUAGCUAGUUGGUAAGGUAACGGCUUACCAAGGCAACGAUGCAUAGCCGACCUGAGAGGGUGAUCGGCCACACUGGAACUGAGACACGGUCCAGACUCCUACGGGAGGCAGCAGUAGGGAAUCUUCCGCAAUGGGCGAAAGCCUGACGGAGCAACGCCGCGUGAGUGAUGAAGGUCUUCGGAUCUUAAAACUCUGUUAUUAGGGAAGAACAUAUGUGUAAGUAACUGUGCACAUCUUGACGGUACCUAAUCAGAAAGCCACGGCUAACUACGUG